AGAGUUUGAUCCUGGCUCAGGAUGAACGCUAGCGGUGUGCCUAAAGCAUGCAAGUCGAGCGAAGAAUAUCUAAUAGCAAUAUUGGAUAUUCUUAGCGGCGAACGGGUGAGUAAUGCAUAGAUAACUUCCCUUAAACAUGAGGAUAGCCUACUGAAAAGUAGGAUAAUACUCAGUAAUAUUAAUAUUUGUAAUAGUAUUAAUUAAAGCUAAGCAAUUGGCGGUUUGAGAAAGGUCUAUGUUCUAUCAGCUUGUUGGUGGGGUAAAGGCCUACCAAGGCUAUGACGGAUAGCUGGUCUGAGAGGAUGAUCAGCCACAUUGGGACUGCGACACGGCCCAAACUCCUACGGGAGGCAGCAACUAGGAAUCUUGCACAAUGGGGGAAACCCUGAUGCAGCGACACCGCGUGAAGGAUGACGGCCUUCGGGUUGUAAACUUCUUUUAGUAGGGAAAAUAAUGAUGGUACCUAUUGAAUAAGCAGCUGCUAACUACGUGCCAGCAGCAGCGGUAAUACGUAGGCUGCGAGCGUUAUCCGGAAUUACUGGGCGUAAAGAGAUGCGUAGGCGUCUGAAUUAGUCUUUAAUUAAAGGCACAAGCUCACUUGUGUAUGGUUAGGGAAACUGUUUGGAUUGAGGGAGACAGGGAAGAUGGAACUUCUGGUGGAGUAGUGAAAUGCGUUGAUAUCAGAAGGAACACCAAAGCGAAGGCAUCUUCUAGGUCUUUUCUGACGCUAAUGCUCGAAGCGUGGGUAGCAAACGGAUUAGAUACCCGUGUAGUCACGCCGUAAACGAUGGAUGCUAGAUAUUUGUAUUGGUAGGAUUUAUCCUAUAAAUAUGAGUGUCGCAGCUAACGCAAUAAGCAUCCCGCCUGGGGAGUACGACCGCAAGGUUAAAACUCAAAGGAAUUGACGGGGACCCGCACAAGCAGUGGAUCGCGUGGUUUAAUUCGAUGCUAAUCGUAAAACCUUACCAGGGUUUGACAUGUUAGAGAAUCCGCCUGAAAGGGUGGAGUGCCGCAAGGAGCUCUUUCACAGGUUCUGCAUGGCUGUCGUCAGCUCGUGUCGUGAGAUGUUGGGUUAAGUCCCGCAACGAGCGCAACCUUUAUCUGGUGUUAUAUAUUUCUCCAGAAACUGCACCGUUACAACGGUGAGGAAGGUGAAGAUGAUGUCUAGUCAUCAUAGACCUUAUGUCCUGGGCAACACACGCGAUACAAUGGGAAAGACAACGAGUUGCAACAUCGUAAGGUGAAGCUAAUCUCUUAAACUUUUUCUCAGUUCGGAUUGAGGGCUGCAAUUUGCCCUCAUGAAGUCGGAAUUGCUAGUAAUCGCGGAUCAGCAUGCCGCGGUGAAUACGUUCUCGGGUCUUGUACACACCGCCCGUCAGGUCAUGAAAGUUAGUAGUAUCUGAAUAUUGGUUGUACCAAUAGAGGGUAAAACUAGCGAUUGGGAUUAAGUCGUAACAAGGU
This 1461-nucleotide ribosomal RNA is filed under the name uncultured bacterium. RNAcentral's name for it is "bacterial SSU rRNA". It matches the Rfam family "Bacterial small subunit ribosomal RNA". The record is from RNAcentral.